AGAGUUUGAUCCUGGCUCAGGAUGAAUGCUGGCGGCGUGCCUAAUACAUGCAAGUCGAGCGGCAGCGCGUCUAGUUUACUAGAUGGCGGCGAGCGGCGGACGGCUGAGUAACGCGUGGGAACGUACCCCAAAGUGAGGGAUAAGCACCAGAAAUGGUGUCUAAUACCGCAUGUGCUCUAAGGAGUAAAGCUCCGGCGCUUUGGGAACGGCCUGCGCAUGAUUAGCUAGAUGGUGAGGUAAUGGCUCACCAUGGCGACGAUCAUUAGCUGGUCUGAGAGGAUGAUCAGCCAGACUGGGACUGAGACACGGCCCAGACUCCUACGGGAGGCAGCAGUAGGGAAUUUUCCACAAUGGGCGAAAGCCUGAUGGAGCAACGCCGCGUGCAGGAUGAAUGCCUUCGGGUUGUAAACUGCUUUUAUAUGUGACGAAUAUGACGGUAGCAUAUGAAUAAGGAUCGGCUAACUCCGUGCCAGCAGCCGCGGUCAUACGGAGGAUCCAAGCGUUAUCCGGAAUUACUGGGCGUAAAGAGUUGCGUAGGCGGCAUAGUAAGCAGAUAGUGAAAGCGUGUGGCUCAACCAUACUCACAUUAUCUGAACUGCUAAGCUAAAGGACGAGAGAGGUCACUGGAAUUCCUAGUGUAGGAGUGAAAUCCGUAGAUAUUAGGAGGAACACCAAUGGCGUAGGCAGGUGACUGGCUCGUUCCUGACGCUCAGGCACGAAAGCGUGGGGAGCAAACGGGAUUAGAUACCCCGGUAGUCCACGCCGUAAACGAUGGAUGCUAGCUGUUAGAGGUAUCG
Molecule: ribosomal RNA, 797 nt
Filed under: bacterium enrichment culture
Lineage: Bacteria
Description: bacterial SSU rRNA
Rfam family: Bacterial small subunit ribosomal RNA
Source: RNAcentral